RNAcentral lists this long non-coding RNA (230 nucleotides) under Musa acuminata (dwarf banana). Its description in RNAcentral is "long non-coding RNA (MACU_LNC007007)". The record is from RNAcentral. Lineage: Eukaryota; Viridiplantae; Streptophyta; Magnoliopsida; Zingiberales; Musaceae.
UGCUUCGGUGCGUCACUCGCUUCUUCCGGCGAGUUUCCGGCGAACUUCCGUCGAUCAUCCGAUGAACCCUCGGUGAUGCUCCUGCGGACUUCCGGCAAACUCCUGGACUGCGACGAUCCACUUGGCAAGUUCCGACGAGCUCCUUUGGCAAGCUUCUGGACUUCUCGGAUUUGUUCCCGCAGAACCUCCGACGACUGUCCGAACUUCUGUCGAGCUCUCGAACUCCCAAC